Molecule: ribosomal RNA, 494 nt
Filed under: uncultured bacterium
Lineage: Bacteria
Description: partial 16S ribosomal RNA
Rfam family: Bacterial small subunit ribosomal RNA
Source: RNAcentral
GACGAACGCUGGCGGCGUGCUUAACACAUGCAAGUCGAACGGUGAAGCGCCUUCCUUUUUGGUGGGUGUGGAUGAGUGGCGAACGGGUGAGUAACACGUGAGUAACCUGCCCCCUUCUUCUGGAUAACCGCAUGAAAGUGUGGCUAAUACGGGAUAUUCUGGGUCUGUCGCAUGAUGGGUCUGGGAAAGAUAUUGUUUCGGUGGGGGAUGGGCUCGCGGCCUAUCAGCUUGUUGGUGGGGUGGUGGCCUACCAAGGCGGGGACGGGUAGCCGGCCUGAGAGGGAGGACGAGCACACUGGGAAUGAGACACGGCCAAGACUCCUACGGGAGGCAGCAGUGAGGAAUAUUGCACGAUGGGCGCAAGACUGAUGCAGCGACGCCGCGUGAGGGAUGGAGGCCUGCGGGUUGUGAACCUCUUUCGCCAGUGAAGCAGGCCUGCCUCGUUUGUGGGUGGGUUGACGGUAGCUGGAGAAGAAGCGCCGGCUAACUACGUG